This 497-nucleotide ribosomal RNA is filed under the name uncultured bacterium. RNAcentral describes it as "partial 16S ribosomal RNA". It matches the Rfam family "Bacterial small subunit ribosomal RNA", at positions 28 to 507 of the family's 1533-position model. The record is from RNAcentral.
GAUGAACGCUGGCGGCGUGCCUAAUACAUGCGAGUCGAGCGAACAGACGAGGAGCUUGCUUCUCUGACGUUAGCGGCGGACGUGUGAGUAACACGUGGAUAACCUACCUAUAAGACUGGGAUCACUUCGGGAAACCGUCGCUAAUACCGGAUAAUAUUUUGAACCGCAUGGUUCAAUAGUGAAAGACGGUCUUUCUGUCACUUAUAGAUGGAUCCGCGCUGCAUUAGCUAGUUGGUAAGGUAACGGCUUACCAAGGCAACGAUGCGUAGCCGACCUGAGAGGGUGAUCGGCCACACUGGAGCUGAGACACGGUCCAGACUCCUACGGGAGGCAGCAGUAGGGAAUCUUCCGCAAUGGGCGAAAGCCUGACGGAGCAACGCCGCGUGAGUGAUGAAGGUCUUCGGAUCGUAAAACUCUGUUAUUAGGGAAGAACAGAUGUGUAAGUAACUGUGCACAUCUUGACGGUACCUAAUCAGAAAGCCACGGCUAACUACGUG